RNAcentral lists this ribosomal RNA (629 nucleotides) under Streptomyces sp. D411. Its description in RNAcentral is "bacterial SSU rRNA". It matches the Rfam family "Bacterial small subunit ribosomal RNA", at positions 56 to 701 of the family's 1533-position model. Lineage: Bacteria; Bacillati; Actinomycetota; Actinomycetes; Kitasatosporales; Streptomycetaceae. The record is from RNAcentral.
UGCAGUCGAACGAUGAACCUCCUUCGGGAGGGGAUUAGUGGCGAACGGGUGAGUAACACGUGGGCAAUCUGCCCUUCACUCUGGGACAAGCCCUGGAAACGGGGUCUAAUACCGGAUACGAGCCUGAGAGGCAUCUCUCGGGUUGGAAAGCUCCGGUGGUGAAGGAUGAGCCCGCGGCCUAUCAGCUUGUUGGUGAGGUAAUGGCUCACCAAGGCGACGACGGGUAGCCGGCCUGAGAGGGCGACCGGCCACACUGGGACUGAGACACGGCCCAGACUCCUACGGGAGGCAGCAGUGGGGAAUAUUGCACAAUGGGCGAAAGCCUGAUGCAGCGACGCCGCGUGAGGGAUGACGGCCUUCGGGUUGUAAACCUCUUUCAGCAGGGAAGAAGCGAGAGUGACGGUACCUGCAGAAGAAGCGCCGGCUAACUACGUGCCAGCAGCCGCGGUAAUACGUAGGGCGCAAGCGUUGUCCGGAAUUAUUGGGCGUAAAGAGCUCGUAGGCGGCUUGUCACGUCGAUUGUGAAAGCCCGAGGCUUAACCUCGGGUCUGCAGUCGAUACGGGCUAGCUAGAGUGUGGUAGGGGAGAUCGGAAUUCCUGGUGUAGCGGUGAAAUGCGCAGAUAUCAGG